This 559-nucleotide long non-coding RNA is filed under the name Vigna radiata. RNAcentral describes it as "long non-coding RNA (VRAD_LNC002497)". The record is from RNAcentral. Lineage: Eukaryota; Viridiplantae; Streptophyta; Magnoliopsida; Fabales; Fabaceae.
UUCCUUGCGUCUGAUGUUUCCUUAAACUAGGCUUAUCGUAUUGAUCUAUCAUCUUGUGAUAUUUUCUUUUGAUCUUUGUAUGAGACUAACUCUUCUUCAGAGUUUGUCUAAGACCUAGGACUAGUUUUAUGAAUUUGAGUCAUCUAAAACAUUCCAAGUAACUUUGUUAGACAACCAAAACAUAAUAUUAUUUAUUAUUAUUAGUAUUAUUAUUAUCAUCAUCAAAACCAUGGGUGUCUUAAGCAAGAUUUUCAGAUGUAGAUUUGUGUCAAAACAUGAGUAAUACAUCUGUGUUAACAACGGGAAGUUAAGUGUUCUCUUGUAUUCUGUUAUGUUUCUUUCAGAUCAGUUAGCUUUGUUUCAGAUCAGUUAGUUUGAUUGCUUUAUAUACUUGUAUUUACUCUUCAGAAAUUACAAAAUUUAUGUUCACAUAAAUUCUAAAAUGUCUCUCCUCUUUCUCAAUCGUAAUAUCUUAUGUCACUUUUUUAAUUCAGACAUCGAAGGAAUUCAUUGCUGUUGCAGGGUCAGAGGUGGCAUCUGUAACAAACCUAUAUUCUGU